CUACAGUGUGGAGUACUGUGUAGAGAUAACUAUGUGGUUUACUAUUACAGAGCUAAUAGGAGCAGACUGGUGUGAGAGGACGUUUUCUAAGAGAAAAUGAUGAGAAGAUGGCGAGACAUCAUCAUGACAGUACCGUAACUAAGGCAAGGACAAAAUCUCCAGACAAUGUAGCAACAGACUGUAACUAAUAUACAGCUAUUGUCUGUGUGUCUCUAUGAGAAGUCCAAAUACAGGAAGUGAGGGUGGACAAGCAGGACUCUGUCGAGUGAGGACAAGCAGG
Molecule: long non-coding RNA, 280 nt
Organism: Hyla sarda
Lineage: Eukaryota; Metazoa; Chordata; Amphibia; Anura; Hylidae
Exons: 3
Source: RefSeq, a predicted model, not a curated record